Molecule: transfer RNA, 81 nt
Filed under: Neolentinus lepideus HHB14362 ss-1
Lineage: Eukaryota; Fungi; Basidiomycota; Agaricomycetes; Gloeophyllales; Gloeophyllaceae
Rfam family: tRNA
About the family: Transfer RNA (tRNA) molecules are approximately 80 nucleotides in length. Their secondary structure includes four short double-helical elements and three loops (D, anti-codon, and T loops). Further hydrogen bonds mediate the characteristic L-shaped molecular structure. tRNAs have two regions of fundamental functional importance: the anti-codon, which is responsible for specific mRNA codon recognition, and the 3' end, to which the tRNAs corresponding amino acid is attached (by aminoacyl-tRNA synthetases). tRNAs cope with the degeneracy of the genetic code in two manners: having more than one tRNA (with a specific anti-codon) for a particular amino acid; and 'wobble' base-pairing, i.e. permitting non-standard base-pairing at the 3rd anti-codon position.
Source: Rfam by way of RNAcentral
AGCAGCAUGGCGCAGUGGAAGCGCGUUGGGCUCAUAUAUUAUGGUACCCAAAGGUCGCUCGAUCGAAACGAGCUGCUGCUA